RNAcentral lists this long non-coding RNA (2070 nucleotides) under Homo sapiens (human). RNAcentral describes it as "HSALNT0368225". The record is from RNAcentral. Lineage: Eukaryota; Metazoa; Chordata; Mammalia; Primates; Hominidae.
CCACUGAAAGAGGGGAAGGAAUGCUCAGGGCCUUGGAGGUCUCCUGGGGGUCUGGCCGGGGCAAUGGGGUGCUUAUGUAUCAUCACUAGGAACAGAAACCCACGAUGAAUCAGCUUGGAGAUGACAAGUGUGGUUUUGAACACAUGGAAACUGAGAGGUCUUAGGACAUCCCAGUGAAAGCAUCUGGUAGGCUGUUCUGUGUAUGGCUCUGAUGCUCAGGAGGGAACUGAAACUGAAGACAGCCCUGUCAGUCAUCAGAGGUCAAAAAUCGGCAGCCCAUAGGCCAGCUUCAGGUCACAGAUGGAGGUUUAGACUGGCUCACACCAUUGAUCUCCCGAAGUGCUGGGAUUACAAGCACUGCGCCUGGCCUCAUCCUACCCACCUCUUCUUUUUUUAAAAUUUAAGUUUUUCCAUUUGCUGUACUUCAUGCCAAGUAUACACUCCCCUCCUGCCUGUUCCCAAGCCAGGGACCAAGGACUACAGGCCGGUACAGGAUUUGCGCUUGGUUAAUCAAGCUACAGUGACUUUACAUCCAACAGUACCUAACCCGUACACGUUGUUGGGAUUGCUGCCAGCUGAGGACAGCUGGUUCACCUGCUUGGACCUGAAAGACGCUUUCUUUCGUAUCAGAUUAGCUCCCGAGAGCCAGAAGCUGUUUGCCUUUCAGUGGGAAGAUCCGGAGUCAGGUAUCACUACUCAGUACACUUGGACCCGGCUUCCCCAAGGGUUCCAGAGCUCCCCCACCAUCUUCAGGGAGGCGUUGGCUACAGACCUCCAGAAGCUUCCCACCAGAGACCUAGGCUGCGUGUUGCUCCAGUACGUUGAUGACCUUUUGCUGAGACACCCCACGGCAGUCAGGUGCGCCAAGGGAACGGAUGCCCUACUCCAGCGCCUGGAGGACUGUGGGUAUAAGGUGUCCAAGAAAAAAGCUGAGAUCUGUCGACAGCAGUGCAUGGAGCAUUAUAGAAAGAAAACGGCCUAUGGAACUCUGGGGGAAAAGACAUAAAAUAUCAACAAGAAAUCUUGCAAUUAUUAGAAGCAGUAUGGAAACCCCACAAGGUGGCAGGUAUGCAUUGCAGAGGACAUCAGCGAGCUUCCACCUUGCUGGGUUUGGGGAAUUCCCGCGCUGACUCAGAGGCUCGAAAAGCAGCAUCUGCCCCCUUCCGGCAAUCAGUCACAGCCACUCUGCUCCCUCAAGCACCUGAUCUUGUACCUACUUAUUCUAAAGAAGAAAAGGACUUUCUCCAGGUAGAGGGAAGGACAAGUGAUGGAGGAAGGAUGGAUUCGGUUACCAGAUGGGAGAGUAGCUGUGCCACAGCUGCUAGGAGCUGCAGUUGUACUGGCUGUGCAUGAAACCACCCAUCUAGGUCAGAGUCACUGGAAAAGUUGUUAGGCUGGUAUUUCUACAUCUCGCAUUUGUCAGCCCUUGCCAAAACGGUGACACAGCGGUGUGUUACCUGCUGACAGCACAAUGCGAGGCAAGGUCCAGCCGUUCCGCCCGGCAUAAAAGCUUAUGGAGCAGCCCCCUUUGAAGAUCUCCAGGUAGACUUCACAGAGAUGCCAAAGUGUGGAGGUCAGAAGUAUUUACUAGUUCUUGGGUGUACCUGCUCUGGGUGGGUGGAGGCUUAUCCAACACGAACUAAGAAAGCUCGUGAAGUAACCCGUGUGUUUCUUCGAGAUCUGAUUCCUAGAUUUGGACUGCCCUUACGGAUCAGCUCAGAUAACGGGCCUGCGUUUGUGGCUGACUUGGUACAGAAGACGGCGAAGGUAUCGGGCAUCACAUGGAAACGGCAUGCCGCGUACCAGCCUCAGAGUUCCGGAAAGGUGGAGCGGAUGAAUCGGACUAUCAAAAAUAGUAUUAUUAUCUUUCCCACUGGAUAUUAAAAACAAUACCACAAGGGGCAUCAAACCACCUGCCAAAUUUGAGGGAAUGUUAUUCUGUCCUCCCCCCGCCCCCGGAUAUUAGAGACAAUAACAUAGGGGCUGUAGAUAAAGGGGUUGAGCAUGGAGGUGACCACCGUGUACAUCACUGCAGCCACUGCACCCUUUCUGGGGGAAGAUGACACAUCU